AUUGAACGCUGGCGGCAGGCUUAACACAUGCAAGUCGAGCGGGGGAAGGUAGCUUGCUACCUAACCUAGCGGCGGACGGGUGAGUAAUGCUUAGGAAUCUGCCUAUUAGUGGGGGACAACAUUUCGAAAGGGAUGCUAAUACCGCAUACGCCCUAAGGGGGAAAGCAGGGGAUCUUCGGACCUUGCGCUAAUAGAUGAGCCUAAGUCGGAUUAGCUAGUUGGUGGGGUAAAGGCCUACCAAGGCGACGAUCUGCAGCGGGUCUGAGAGGAUGAGCCGCCACACUGGGACUGAGACACGGCCCAGACUCCUACGGGAGGCAGCAGGGGGGAAUAUUGGACAAUGGGGGGAACCCUGAUCCAGCCAUGCCGCGUGUGUGAAGAAGGCCUUUUGGUUGUAAAGCACUUUAAGCGAGGAGGAGGCUACCGAGAUUAAUACUCUUGGAUAGUGGACGUUACUCGCAGAAUAAGCACCGGCUAACUCUGUGCCAGCCGCCGCCGUAA
This 501-nucleotide ribosomal RNA is filed under the name uncultured bacterium. RNAcentral describes it as "partial 16S ribosomal RNA". It matches the Rfam family "Bacterial small subunit ribosomal RNA", at positions 30 to 523 of the family's 1533-position model. The record is from RNAcentral.